CCUCGGAAUCGCCGCGGGGGACAGACCCCCAGCCUCCCGCGCUCUCGGGGUUCCGCGGCCGUGGAAGGAGCCUCUGUCUGGGGAAACCUCAGCCUCCUGCUUACGAGAGGACUGAGCGACUUGGACUCGUGGAGGGGAGAGUGAACACUGGGUCUCCCCGGGGUGGGGAGGAGUGUGGGGGCGCCGCAGGGUGCAGGACCCCAGCAGUGCUGGUGGUCCCAGGGACGGUCCGCAGCCCUGCCCCCGGAGGCUGUGGUCGCUUCGUGGGGACUCCAUCUCCCGGAGAGUAAGGAGAGAUUCUCCCUCUGGAGCUGAGCGCACUGGCAUUGCGGUUGGAGCUCAGGGAAGCACUUCGGGGUGGGGGGAGGCUAUUGCCCCCACUUCUGGGAAAGGCCAUGUCCCCAGUUCAGGGGAAGGCUUUUGGCCCGGCUUUGGGGGACGAAUCAGAACCGAGCCCUUAAGAAUUGUAUUACGAUUUUGAGAGACCUCUGGGACUUACGGAGAAGUUAAUGAAAGACACUGAAAAUGUUAUCCGUGCCUUUCAAAAGGGAGAUAGGGAGGCCGACCCCAAGGGAAAUACCCCAAGCCUUAUGGACUAAAGGAACAAUCUACUCAUUCCUUGGGGAGAACGACAAGCUAGGAGGGAGAUGUAAGAAGAACGGGGCCUAAAGGCAGGAAAGAAGGCGGCUAGAGGAUGCUUUUUCCCUGUGUAUUUACACCAAAGUUCCAAGAAAAGGGACUUGAAAUUCUUUGUUUCAGUAUGUCUUCCCCCCACCCCUGCUAAUGUGGGUAGCAGUAAGGAAAGAACAAAACCCUGGAGAAGAAGGUGGUUUGAUAUCCUUGGCUUAGUUAGGUUAAGUGAAGAAGCAAGGAUCUGAGGCUUUGAGUAGAUACUCAGGAUAGGGGAAUUAGGAGGGGUGGGGGGGUUGAAACAACAACAACAAAAAAACCAACCCGUUGCCAUCCAGUGGAUUCUGGCUCAGAGCGACCCUAUAGAGGAGGAAUAUAGGGAAAAGACUGAGCAGAGCAGGAAUGCCACAGCGCUUUUCUGUCACCUAACCCCAGCUCUGAAGAAAAAGAUGACCAGAGGCUAAAUUUUUUUGGGGGGGAGGGGAGUAGGAAAGGUUAACUGGUAGAGAAUUUGUAGUAUGAUUAGGGGGUUGGGAGUCCAUGUAACUUGAAAGGAAGAUGAAACAUGCUCUUGGAGGUUAAGGAGGAGGAUAGCAGAAAAGGGAAAAUCACAGGAUUGGGAAAUACAGAGGCUCACAUUAAAAAAAAAAAAAGCCAAAUCCGUUGCCGUGGAGUCCAUUCCUACUCAUAUCGACCCUAUAGGACAGGGUAGAACUGCCCCAUAGAGUUUCCGAAGAACACCUGGUGGAUUUGAACAGCUGACCUUCUGGUUAGCAGCUGUAGCACUUAACCACUACACCAGCUGGGUUUCCUUAGGGAGGAAGAAGCAGCUUCCUCCCAGGAAUAGUGACGGUUUGGUGGGUGCUGGUGUGUGUGUGUAUACACAUGUAUGGACAUGAGUGCACCUUUAGAUUUGCUGGUAUCGGUCAUUGUUUCUCAGUCUUUGUCUGAAAGCCCUAACUUGUGUUGAAUGCUGCUACAUGAAUUAGCUUUGUUUCUGAAAAAUUAUCCUGAAAACAUCAUCGGUUUUUAUGUCAGUAGUGAGCCUGAAGAGGAGUUGGUUCUAACAGGAAUAUUGGCCCUACCAUACCCAGUGAUUAUUCUAAUUUCUUAAAUAGCAAUUCUGACUCUUGAUUUUAAGCAAAAAAAAAUGUGAGUGCUGCCAGAGGCAAUAAUGCGGGAACCUGACGUGAAAGAAAAAAGGCUUUCGUGAAUUUUUUUUUUCUCUUAGUUUUUCUCUCCUUACUCUAAGCAUUCUAGGACUGAGCAGAUUAAUUUUAUACAAAACAAAAUGUAAACUCUUGGGGCCUUUUAAUUUAAAAAUGAUAGCAUUUCAUUUAUCAGUGAAUGUUUUUGUAGCACUACCUCUUCAAAUGCUUUAUUUAAUGAUCAGGAUUAAAAUGAGGGGAAAAAAAGAAUUAAAGUAAGACUUGGGUAACUAAUGACAGCAAUGAUUCAUAGAGAUUUCUUUAACCGUUCUAGUAUUUUUAAAGGAACUUUAACAUCUUACUGUUUUAAACAAUACAUUGCAAGUAUAGACGGGUUUAGAGCCGCACGUUUGAACAUAACUGUCUGUGUGAACUGUUCCUGGGUUUCCCCGAAGCACAAGUAGCUCUGGCCUUAUGUACAGUUAUGAACAGACCAGUAUAAUGCUUUCAGGCUUCAAAAGACAGUUUUUAUAUACCUUUAGUUUAAACAAAUUUGAAGAUACACUUUGGAAAAGAAAUACAUGUGAGCAAUUUGGGAAUAAAAUUUAUUCAAGGGAGUCAGAAUUGGGUGAACCAGAGUGGCACUGAUGCCAGAUGGUUUGAAAAUAUGCUCAGGCUGAAAACAUGAACGUGCCUGCGCUGGUGAACGCUUGUCGGUAGAGCUCUUUCCCUUACAGCUGAGCUUAUUAUUCCACCGAAUUUGGACGGGGGUUCAUGAAUGAUGUAGCAAGUACUUCACCUUUAACACUUGUCAGUUCCUUUUUUCAAUAAAUGUGAACGAAGUUUUACCAUUUUUUUAAUUAGUGAAUAGGUAAAGUGGUUCGUUUUGGAGAUUCUCUCCCUUUCACAGUAUAUUUUACAUCACGAUGGAAAGGCGAUGUGAUGAUGAAUCAUACGUCUUCUUUCUUACAGUAAUAAUUGUGUACUAAAAUGUGAUAUUUGAGACUUAGUUUGCUUUAAAUUGUGGCUUUCUACUUAAAUGAAAAUGCUCUUAAAGUUACCAGAACAAUCAAAAACGUAUCUGAGGAAAUAACUGUUCUAUUUUGAGGCAUUGUACAUUUGGGCAAAAAGGCUGUACUUAUUUGAAUCUUAACAAUGUUAAGAUUUAAGUGUCAAACUAGUUUUUAAUCUAAUAUCAUACUCAGUAGAUGCAGUAGUGGCUCAAGGAGGUGUAUGGAAUUAUCUAUACCAUGGUUUUUGGUAAUAGGCAGUAUAGCACAUCCACUUUUAACUCUAAAUUUUUUUCGUAAUUAAAAAUCUCCGUAAAUCAUCCUAUGUAAUUUCAGAAGUAAUUUAAAUUACAUUUCUUGAGAGUAAAAAGCUAUAUAUAUAUAAUACUGGUCUUUGAAUAAUAUCCAGUAUUUCCAUAAUAUAUUUCUACAAUAUGUAUAUAUAUAUUUUAUUAUCUUCCUGUGGCUCUGAUAUAUUUGUAGUCAUGACUAACCAGGUUUACAUGACUAAAGCUGCUGAUUUAGAUUACUAAUCAGGAUAUAUAUUUGAAUUUACAUUUUGGAGCUCUGUAUUUUAAACAGUUUAUUUUUUAAAGUAAAUAUUCCAUGUAAAUUUUUAUAUAGUUGCCAGUUUCUUGGUCUUAAAGGAUACUUAAUCUUAGCAUUUUAUAUGAUCAGUAUUUCAUAAUAUAUUUAAGAGGUACAAAGAUGUGGUUUACUUAAUGUGAUAAAAAUAUGUAACAAAACAUUUGCCAUUUCAACAUUUUUUGUAUGUGUAAUUCAUUGACAUUAAUUCCGUUCAUCAUGUUGUGCAGCCAUCACCACUGUCCGUUUCCAGAUUUUUCCAUCACCCUUAACAGAAACUCAGUGCCGCCUAAGCAACUACUUCCCUUCCGCCUCCCGCACACCAGUGGUAACCACUAAUGAGUUUUGGUCUUUAUUUAUUUGUCUGUUUUAAAUAUUUUAUAUAAAUGGGAUCAUACAGUAUUGUCCUUUUAUGACUGGCUUAUUUCACUCUGCAUAAUGCUUUCAAGCUUAAAAAGACAGUUUUUAUAUACUUUCAGUAUAAACAAAUAUGAAGAUUCACUUUGGAGAAGAAAUAUAUGUGAACAAUUUGAGAAUAAAGUUUAUUCAAGGGAGUUAAAAUUGAACAAAUCAUUUUUUAAUACAAGAUUUUUUAAAAAUCCCGUUGAAGUUUCAUAUUAUCAGAAUUUAGCUAACAUAAUUAAAAUAUAAUGAUAGCCAUAUUAUACAUACUAUCAUUUUAAAAUAAAUAACUCAUUAAAUUUUGAUAUCAUAUUUCCCUUAUGAUUUCUGACUCUGUUUUUCCCCCUUGUGAAGAUCUUUCUUUCCCUUUUUUGGUUGUUAUGAGUAAUGAAAGGAGGUAAGAAGAUUCUGAUAUUUCUAAGCAUUUCAUUCAUAAUUUUUCUUCCAUCCUGAAUCUGUCCCUUUUACCUUCCAUGUUGUCAAAAAAAAGUUUGUGAAAACUUUGCUCAGCAUGGACUAGACUUGGAAGAAAGGACUGGAAUGGUGAGAAGUGAACAGUUUCUUCUCACUAAUAUGAUGUCGUUAGGUGCCGUCGAGUCGGUUUCGACUUAUAGUGACCUGUGGACAACAGAAUGAAACACUGUUCGGUCCUGCACCAUCCUUGCACUCCUUGCUGUGUUAGAGCUCAUUGUUGUAGCCACUGUGUCAAUCCAUCUCAUUGACAGUCUUCCUCUUUUUCGCUGGCCCUCUACUUUACCAAGCAUGAUGUCCUUCUCCAGUUACUGGUCCCUCCUGAUAAAAUGUCCAAAGUUGUGAGAUGAAAAUCUUGUCUUCCUCGCUUCUAAGAAGCAUUCUGCCUGUACUUCUUCCACAACAGAUUUGUUUGUUCUUGUGGCAGUCCAUGGUAUAUUCAGGAUUCUUCAUCAGCACCAUAAUUCAAAUGCAUCAAUUCUUCAGUCUUCAUUAUUCAUUGUCCAGCUUUCACGUGCAUAUGACGUGGUUGAAGCUGGUGUGGCUUGGGUCAGGCCCACCUUAGUCCUCAAGGUGACAUCCUUAAUCUUUAACACUUUAAAAGAGGGCUUUUGCAAUAGAUUUAUCCAAUGCAGUAUGUUGUUUAAUUCUUGACUGCUGCUUCCAUGGGUGUUGGUUGUGGAUCCAAGCAAAAUGAAAUGCUUGACAGCUUUAAUCUUUUCUCCGUUUAUCAGGAUGUUGCUGAUUUAUCCAGUUGUGAGGAUUUUUGUUUUCUUAUGUUUAGGUGUAAUCCAUACUGAAGGCUGUGGUAUUUGAUCUUCAUCGGUAAGUGCUUCAAGUCUUCACUUUCAGCAGGCAAGGUUGUGUCAUCUGCAUAUCGCAGGUUGUUAAUGAGUUUUCCUUCAAUCCUGAUGCCACGUUCUUCUCCGUAUUGUCCAGCUUCUCAGAAUAUUUGCUCAGUAUAUAGAUAGGAUAAGUAUGGUGAAAGGAUACAGCCCUGACACACACUUUGCCUGAUUUUAAAACAUGCAGUGUUUCCUCAUUCUGUUUGAAUGAUGGCCUCUUGGUCUAUGUACAGGUUCUUCAUGAGCACAAUUAAGUGUUCUGGAAUUCCCAUUUUCCACAAUGUUAUCCAUAAUUCGCUAUGAUCCACAUAGCCAGAUGCCUUUGCAUAAUCAGUAAAACACAGGUAAACGUCUUUCUGGUAUUCUAUGCUUUCAGCCAAGAUCCAUCUGAUAUCAGCAAUAAUAGCCCUCAUUCCACACAUCUUCUUCUGAAUCUGGCUUGAAUUUCUAGCAGUUCUUGUCGAGGUACUGCUGCAACUGCUUCUGAGUUAUCUUCAGCAUAAUUUUACUUCCAUGUGAUAUUAAUGAUACUGUUCGAUAAUUUCCACAUCCUGUUGGAUCACCUUUCUUUGCAAUGCGCUUGAAUACAGAUCUUUUCCAGUCAGAUGGUCGGGUAGCUAUCUUCCAAGUUUCUUGGCACAGAUGAGUAACCACUUCCAGCAUUGCAUCCAUUUGUUGAAACAUCUGAAUUGGUAUUCUGUCAACUCCUGGAGACUUAUUUUUCACCAGUGCCUCCAGUGCAGCUUGGACUUCUUCCGUCAGUACCAUUGGUUCUUGAUCAUAUGCUACCUCCUGAAAUGGCUGAACGUCGACCUGUUCUUAUUGGUACAGUGACUCUGUAUUCCUUCCAUCUUCUUUUAAUGCUUCCUGUGUCAUUCAGUUUUUUGCCGAUGGAAUUCUUCAGUAUUGCGACUCAAGGCUUGAAUUUUUUCUUCAGUUCUUUCAGCUUGAGAAAUGCCGAGCGUGUUCUUCUCUUUUGGUUUCCAACUCCAGGUCUCUACACACUUCAUUAUAAUACUUUGUCUUCUUGAGCGCCUUUGAAAUCUUCUGUUCACCUCUUUUACUUCAUCAUUUCUUCCUUUUGCUUUACCUCCUCGACGUUCAAGAGCAAGUUUCAGAGUCUCUUCUGACAUCCAUUUUGGUCUUUUCUUUCUUUCUUGUCUUUUUAAUGACCUUUUGUUUUCUUCAUGUAUGAUAUUCUUGAUGUCAUCCCACAACUCGUCUGGUCUUCAGUCAUUAGUGUUCAGUGCAUCAAAUCUGUUCCUGAGAUGGUCUCUAAAUUCAAGUGGUAUGUGUUUGAUGUUGUACUUAAGCUCACUUGGACUUAUUUUAGUUUUCUUCAGCUUCAACUUGAACAUGCAUAUGAGCAAUUGAUGAUUUGUUCUGCAGUCAGCCCCUGACCUUAAUUCUGACUGAUGGUGUUGAGCUUCUGCAUCAUUUUUUUCCACAGGUGUAGUCGAUUGGAUUCCUUUUUUAUACCAUCCAGCAAGGUUCACCUGUAUAUUUGCCAUAUAUGUUGUUGAAAAAAAGGUAUUUCCAAUGAAUAAGUCAUUGGUCCUUCAAAAUUCUAUUGUGUGAUUUCAGGUGUCAUUUCUGUCACCAAGGCCAUAUUUUCCAACUACCAAUCCUUCUUCGUUUCCAACUUUCACACAGUAAUUAUCAAUGCAUCUUGAGUGCAUGUUUGAUCAAUUUCAGACUGCAGAAAUUGGUAAACAUCUUCAAUUUCUUCAUCUUUGGCAUUAGUGAUUGGUGUGUAAAUUUGAAUAAUAUUUGCAUUUACUCAUCUUCCUUGUAGGCGUGUGGAUAUUAUCCUGUCACUGACAGCAUUGUUAUUUCAGGGUAGAUCUUGAAAUGUUCUUUUUGACAAUGAAUGUGAUGCUGUUCCUCUUCAAUUUGUCAUUCUGGUCAUAGUAGACCAUAUGAUUGUUAAGAUUCUAAAUUGUCAAUACUAGUCCAUUUCAGCUCACUGAUGCCUUCUCGGAUAUGGGUCUUCAAGUGUUGCAUUUCACUUCCAAUUUUCCUUGAUUCGUACUUCCUACAUUCCAUGUUCCAAUUGUUAGUGAAUGUUUACAGCUGUUCUUAUUUUGAGUUGUUCCACAUCAGCAAAUGAAGGUCCCAAAAGCUUUACUCUCUCCAGGACAUUAACUCUACUUUGAGGAGGCAGUUCUUCCCUACUAUGGUAAGAUUAUUUAUAUCAGAGGUUUGUUAGUACUGUGUUGUUAGUUGCUUUAGGUAUAACAGAAUGAAGCAUUGUUCAGUCCAGCACUAUAUUGGACAGUAUUCUGUUGUGAUUCAUAAGGUUUUCAUUGGGCCAGUGAAAAAGAGGAAGCUUCUCAAUGAGGGAAACCCUGGUGGCAUAGUGGUUAAGUGCUAUAGCUGCUAACCAAGAGGUUGGCAGUUCAAAUCCGCCAGGCACUCCUUGGAAACUCUGUGGUCGCUGUGAGUCGAAAUUGACUCGAUGGCAGUGGGUUUGGUUUGGCUUUUUGGUUCUCAGUGAGAUGGAUUGACGUAGUGGCUACAAUAAUGGGCUCAAACAUAGCAAUGAUUGUGAGGAUGGCCUAAGACUGGGCAGUGUUUAGUUCUGUUAUACGUAAGGUCUCUAUGAGUCAUACAGAGCCCACUCAAAGGCACCUAACAACAACAAUAGUUUUUGGAAUUAUAUUACCAGGCCUUUCUUCCUAGUGUGUCUUAGUCUGGAAGCUUUUCUGAAACCUGUUCACCAUGGGUGACCCUGCUGGUAUUUGAAAUAUUGUUGACAUAGCUUCUAGCAUUAUAACAACAUGGAAGCCACCACAGUGUGACAGACUGACAGAUGGCGGUAGUAGUUCUUUGAAAUACCCCUUAAAAUUCAUCGUAUGGUAAUGAUUCAUCUUAAAGCCAAGGUCAGAUAAAGUAUGUGUGUGUUUUGGGGGGAGUUAAAUUAUGAUUGUUUAAUGUCUACCUGGUAAAGCCAAAUUAUUCCAGUAUUGCUUAAUAUACUCAAAGGUAUGACAUGGAAAAUAAAAUUUAUUGUUUGAUUAUUAUCCAGGCUUGUAAAAUAUUUUAUAAUGUUUCAACAUUUAGCAAAUUUUAAGCAAAGACAUGCUUUGCUGUAUAAUACCUUAAACAAGUCAGAAAAAUCUAGCAUUCAUUGUGUACAUAUUUAGUACACAAUUGUGUAAGUUCUUAGUACACAAUAUUCCAAACACUUUACAUACUUUGCUUAUUUCAGUUUUAUGUAGGUACUGUUAUUAGACCUAUUUUACAGAUGAGGGGGCUGAGGCACAGACAGACUGUCACUUCUCCAGGGUCAUGCAGCUAGUAAGUGACAAGCUGAGAUUUGAACCCAGGCAGUCUGAUCUCAGAACCCAAGCUCUUGAUCUUUAUUUAUAGACCAUCUUCUACUGCCAGAACAACUCGUUCUGUUUCGUUAUAUAAUGGACAUUGUUAAGAUAACUUCUUUAAUUUAUGAAAUUCACUCUAAUCUUAAAAUUUUAAAAAUGCUUCAAAUUAGAGAGAUGUGUUCUAAAUUAAUCCCAGUAUCCAGAAUUGAAAUAACAUCAGGCAAGUAUAAUUUUCCUUCAAAAGUAUUGAAGAGCUCAUUUGUUUUUUCUGUAGCUGCCUUUAUGCCUUCACAUGCUCGGCAGCUUAUCUCAAGAGACUCAGUGUGAUUUAAGAAUGGAUUCAAAUAGGUUACCAAUUGCCUACAAUAUUAAUAAUUCAUUCUGGAAAAUAACUUCCCCUUUUUGGCAGCCCUUUCCUAUCUUCUAGUCCUCUUCCAGUCUACAUCCUGUAGAGGGAUGGUUAAGGAGUGGCUGAACGAGGAGGUAUCAGGAAGGGAAAUUGUAGAAUCCCAGGCUACAGAGACAACAGAAUGCUGCACUGAGCCCACUAGGAAGGUGCUCCUUUGCUUUUCAUGAAAAUAGUGUGAUUGUUUAGCCUAAGCUUUAACUUAACUGUACAAGUAUUUUACAUAGGAUCGGUGUAUUUACGUUAUUUCCUGUCAUAAAAAGAUUUGUAUGUAAUAAAAGCAGGGAUCAAAGGGUAGUGUGGUUUGGGGGAACUCAUCUUCCCAUUGGCGAAAAACAAGGCUCUGGGAAUUGAUGAAAUACCAAUUGAGAUGUUUCAAAAAUCGGAUGCAGCGCUGAAAGUGCUCACUCAUCUAUGCCAAGAAAUUUGGAGGACAGCUACCUGGCCAACUGACUGGAAGAAAGGUGAUCCAACCAAAUUUGGAAAUUAUUGAACAACAUCAUUAAUAUCACAUGCAAGCAAAAUUUUGCUGAAGAUCAUUCAAAAGCGGCUGCAGCAGUGUAUCAACAGGGAACUGCCAGAAAUUCAAGCUGGAUUCAGAAGAGGACAUGGAACCAGGGAUAUCAUUGCUGAUGUCAGACGGAUCCUGGCUGAAAGCAGAGAACACCGGAAAGAUGUUUACCUGUGUUUUAUUGACUAUGCUAAGGCAUUCAUCUAUGUGGACCAUAACAAAUUAUGGAUAACAUUGGGGAGAAUGGGAAUUCCAGAACACUUAAUCGUGCUCAUGAGGAACCUGUACAUAGAUCAAAAGGCAGUUGUUUGGACAGGACAGGGGGAUACUGUGUGGUUUAAAAUCAGGAAAGGUAUGUGUGAGGGUUGUUUCCUUUCACCAUACCUAUUCCAUCUGUAUGCUGAGCAAAUAAUCAGAGUAGCUAGACUAUGUGAAGAAAAAUGGGGCAUCAGGAUUGGUGAAGACUCAUUAACAACCUGCAAUAUGCAGAUGACACAACCUUGCUUGUUGAAAGUGAAGAGGACUUGAAGCACUUACUGAUGAAGAUCAAAGACCACAGUCUUCAGUAUGUAUUACACCUCAGCAUAAAGAAAACAAAAAUCCUCACAACUGGACCUGUAAGCAACAUUAUGAUGAAUGGAGAAUAGAUUGAGGUUAUCAAGGAUUUCAUUUUACUUGGAUCCACAGUCAACACCCAUGGAAGCAACAGUCAAGAAAUCGAAAGGCACAUUGCAUUGGGCAAAUCUGCUGCAAAAGACCUCUUUAAAGUGUUGAAAAGCAAAGCUGUGACCUUGAAGACUAAGGUGCACCUGACCCAAGCCAUGGUGUUUUCUUUCACCUCCUAUGCAUGCAGAAGCUGGGCAAUAAAUAAGGAAGACCAAAGAAGAAUUGAUGGCUUUGAAUUGUGGUGUUGGCGAAGAAUAUUGAAUAUACCACGGACUGCCAAAAGAACAAACAAAUCUGUCUUGGAAGAAGUACAACCAGAACGCUCCAUAGAAGCAAGGAUGGCAAGACUAUGUCUCACAUACUUUGGAUAUGUUAUCAGGAGGGAUUAGUCACUGGAGAAGGACAUCAAGCUUGGUAAAGUAGGGGGUCAGCGAAAAAGAGGAAGACCCUCAACAAGAUGGAUUGACACCGUGGCUGCAACAGUGGGUUCAAGCAUAGCAACAAUUGUGAGGAUGGCGCAGGACUGGGCGGUGUUUUGUUCUUUGUGCCUAGGGUCGCUAUGAGUCGGAAUCGACUCAACGGCACCUAACAACAACGACAAUAUUUCUAUAGGAGCUCUGUGGCACAGUGGUUAAAGCACGCGGCUGCUAACUGAAAGUUCAGGGAUUUGAACCCACCAGCCACUCUGUGGGAGAAAGACGUGGCAGUCUAGUUCCAUAAAGAUUUACAGCCUUGGAAACCCUGUGGGACAGUUCUACUCUGUCCUGCAGGAUUGCUAUGAGUCAGAAUAGACUUGAUGGCAGUAGGUUUAAUACUUGUUUGUUAUGGUUUAGAGUUUUAGUGCUUAAACAAAAAUAAAUGUUUGAACCCUUCAAGAGCAUUAUUUACCGUUAUUCUGGUAAGAGAAGCCAUUACAGUUUUCGCUAAAUUUUCCUAAUUGGUUUAACUACUCUAGAUAAUAUACCACAACAUUUUUUGGACACAAGUCUGAAUUUUCAGAGAACUAUUUUCAGUUUGUUUGAUUGAACAAUACUAAUGUUUCACAGUGCACUUAUUAUAAAAUCAUUUGGUAGAAGCUUUCUAGCAAAACCUAAAUAGUGAAACAUCACUUACUCUAUUAGAUAUCACGUGUUUAGGGGCGUAGGGUACCACUGGUUUAUUUAAGCUGUUAACAGCUUGUGUCACCAGCAUUACUAAUUCUCUCCAUUCCAGUUAAUACAUAGUAAAUUAGGGUACAAAUAUCAGUAGGUUUACGUAUAAACAUGUAAUCCUACUCCCAAAUCUUAGUUUAAGUAAUUUGUCUUUCAUAACCUUUGUGUACUAGUUUUAAAGAAUUCCAUAUUUCUACAUCUUAGUCUUUAUAUUACGGCCUGCAUAUAUUCGCAUUUUGAAGAUUUUUCUUGAAAAUAGUAUAAUAGUUAUUCAGUUGUUGUGUAGAAUAUAAAUAGACUUUUUAAAGGUAUAGCUUUAAGUUUUGUGUUUCCUAUGAAUAUUAGGUUUGGCAUUUUAGAUGGCUCUUUUAAAAUUUCUAUGAGGAAAUUAAAAUUUUUUAAAAUAAAAUUAUUUAUACAAAGCCAAAGCAUAGAGUUUUCCUAAGGCCGAAUCAUAUCUGGAAUAAUAAAAUGAUAAUCCUUUUUUUUUUUUGAAGGAGAAAGCAGAUAGCUACUUUGGACCUGUUGGUAAUGAUGGCCUGAGCAAAGCACCUCCCAAUUUGAAGGGACACCCUUCUGCUUUAAAGAACAGAAUGCUGAGGAAGCUAUGGCAAGUGAUUGGAGUUUCGCUUCAACAAUUUCAGCAGUUCAGCAGUAUUUUAUCUGCCGACAGUAAGCUCUUUACUUGAUUGCACCAUGAAAAAGCUGCUAAUGAGACUUGUCAAGCACAAAAAUGGACUUGAAGGACCAAAAGCCAUUGUUUUCAAAUGAAGAAUACUGUUCUUCAGACAGGACAGUUCUAAGCCUCAAUGCUUUUUAACCACCACUGAGAUUUCUUCCCACAACAUCAGCAUGGCAAGCAGGCGAAAAUCCACGACACCCUGCAUGGUCCUUGCCAGUGAACAAGACCCAGACCUUGAGUUGACAGCAGGUUUGGGCGAAGGCCCUCCUGUUCUAACGCCUGUAGAAAACACCAGAGCAGAGAGCCUGUCCAGUGAUGAGGACGCUCGUGAGUCUGUGCAUUCCGACAAUCAGCAACACAAAGUAGAAGGCGGCUAUGAAUGUAAAUAUUGUACGUUUCAAACUCCAGACCUGAAUAUGUUUACUUUCCACGUGGACUCAGAACAUCCCCAUGUUGUGCUAAAUUCCUCCUACGUUUGUGUCGAAUGCAAUUUCCUUACCAAAAGGUAUGAUGCACUUUCUGAGCAUAAUCUGAAGUAUCACCCGGGAGAAGAGAAUUUUAAGUUGACUAUGGUGAAACGUAAUAACCAGACAAUCUUUGAGCAAACAGUAAACGACCUGACUUUCGAUGGUAGUUUUGUUAAAGAGGAGAAUUCAGAGCAAGCGGAAUCUACGGACGUUUCUUCCUCAGGAAUAUCUAUCAGCAAAACCCCUAUCAUGAAAAUGAUGAAGAGUAAAGCAGAGAACAAACGAAUUACAGUUCAUCAUAACUCGGUUGAAGACGUUCCUGAAGAGAAAGAGAAUGAAAUCAAACCGGACCAUGAAGAAAUUGUAGAAAAUCCAAGUUCUUCAGCCUCUGAAUCGAAUACCACUACUUCCAUUAUAAACAGACUACAUCCAAGUACUGCCAGCACAGUAGUGACCCCAGCCGCAGUUCUUCCCGGCUUAGCACAGGUGAUAACUGCCAUGUCAGCUCAGCAGAAUUCUAACUUGAUUCCCAAAGUCUUAAUCCCUGUUAACAGCAUUCCUACCUACAAUGCUGCGCUGGAUAACAACCCCCUUUUGCUUAACACCUACAACAAAUUCCCAUAUCCAACAAUGUCAGAAAUUACAGUUCUUUCUGCUCAAGCAAAAUAUACAGAGGAGCAGAUCAAGAUAUGGUUUUCGGCCCAACGUCUCAAACAUGGUGUUAGUUGGACUCCGGAAGAGGUAGAGGAGGCAAGAAGAAAACAAUUCAACGGAACAGUACAUACUGUACCUCAGACCAUAACCGUUAUCCCUACACACAUUUCCACAGCAAGUAAUGGUUUACCAUCCAUUUUACAGACAUGCCAAAUAGUUGGUCAGCCAGGUCUGGUUCUCACACAGGUAGCUGGAACAAAUACCUUGCCAGUAACAGCACCGAUAGCAUUGACGGUGGCAGGAGUUCCAAAUCAAACAAACGCACAGAAAAGUCAGGUACCUGCUACUCAGCCUGUUGUAGAGACAAAGCCAGCAGCAGCAGCAGCAGCAGCAGCAGCAGCAGUUACAACUUCUCAGCUUGUCAAACAAGAAACUGCAUUGGCAAACCCUGACUCGUUUGGCAUUCGGGCAAAAAAGACUAAAGAGCAGCUGGCAGAAUUAAAAGUCAGCUACCUUAAAAAUCAGUUUCCCCAUGACUCAGAAAUUAUCAGACUUAUGAAAAUCACAGGCCUGACUAAAGGAGAGAUUAAAAAGUGGUUUAGUGACACCAGGUACAACCAGAGAAAUUCAAAGAGUAAUCAGUGCUUGCAUCUCAACAAUGAUUCCUUGACCACCAUUAUUAUAGACUCCAGUGAUGAAACCACAGAAUCGCCAACUGGUGUUAUUUCACAGCCAAAACAGUCCUGGAAUUCUAUUCCUGACUUUCCUCCACAAAAGUUUAAAGAGAAAACUGCAGAGCAGCUUCGGGCCCUUCAGGCAAGUUUUCUCAACAGCUCCGUGCUUACAGAUGAAGAAUUAAAUAGGUUAAGAGCGCAAACCAAACUUACCAGAAGAGAAAUUGAUACCUGGUUUACAGAGAGGAAUAAAUCAAAAGCUUUAAAGGAAGAGAAAAUGGAAAUGGAUGAAAGUAAUGCAAGUAGUUCCAAAGAAGAAGCUGGAGAAACGUCUCCUGGAGAUGAAUCUGCUGCCCCUAAAUCAGUGAGUACAGGCAAGAUGUGCAAAAAAUCACCUGAGCAGCUGCACAUGCUUAAAAGUGCAUUCGUCCGAACGCAGUGGCCAUCACCAGAAGAGUACGACAAGUUGGCCAAAGAAAGCGGGCUUGCUAGAUCAGACAUAGUUAGUUGGUUUGGGGACACCCGUUACGCUUGGAAAAAUGGAAACUUGAAAUGGUACUACUACUAUCAGAGCGCCAACGCGAGUGGUAUGAAUGGUCUGUCUUCCCUUAGGAAAAGAGGGAGAGGGAGACCCAAAGGCAGGGGGCGAGGCAGAUCGCGUGGACGGCCUCGAGGAAACAGAAGGUUGAACAACUGGGACAGGGGGCUGUCACUUAUAAAAUUUAAAACUGGAACUGCAAUACUUAAGGAUUAUUACCUGAAGCACAAAUUUCUGAAUGAACAAGACCUUGAUGAACUUGUUAACAGAUCACAUAUGGGCUAUGAGCAGGUCCGAGAGUGGUUUGCAGAAAGACAGCGAAGAUCCGAGUUAGGCAUAGAAUUAUUUGAAGAAAAUGAGGAGGAGGAUGAAAUAAUUGAUGAUCAGGAAGAAGAGGAAGAAGAGACAGAUGACAGUGAUACUUGGGAGCCUCCACGGCACGUGAAGCGGAAGCUUUCUAAAUCAGAUGACUGAAAUGAAAGAAUUCAAAAACGAAAACUAAAAAGAAGGGGAAAAGUAUACCGAAGGAAAGACUUACCACAGGGGUGAGGAUUGCUCAGUUUUAGGAAACUAGCUGCCUAAAGCAUUGAAGGAGAAUCAGUUCUUCAGCUCAAGAUGUCUGAGUUACUGUGAAUGGGCCCAAUCUUUGAUGAAACUGAAAACGUUUUGGGGCAUACACACUCAAACAAAAUAGGAUUCGGUACCCGAAAGAAACGGAACUUAAUGUAUUUUGUGCCAAAGUUAAACUACUGCAGCUGGCGGAAGUUCUGCGAUGUAAAUAGAACACUAAUUACAAAAACACCUUGUAAAAUUUUGAAUUUUAAUACAGCACAUUUUUAUUCUGAUAUGAUGAAGACAUUUGGAUUCUUAGACUUUCUGGAGGGAUUUAAUGACCACUAGAGCUUGUGCUCUUGUGUUUUGUCCAGCUCGAUACUGUAUGUCUGUAAGAUGGGCUCUGUUGCCCGUGUUCUCUCAUAUGUGAUUAAGCUUAUAGCUUUGAGUGACCAAACAUUUUACAGAGUAAAAACUGUUAGAAACAGGAAGAAAAAAUGGAUUUAUUUCUAUUUUAUUUAUGAGGCCCCUGCACUAAGAUUAAAAGUUGUGUCUGGGCUUAUAUAAUUUCACUGUAAGUGAAAAAACAGCCUAUUCACACAUUUUGGAACAGCAAGAUUUUGUGGUAGCACAGGCCUUUAGUGAUCGGCUCUUAUAUCGAACACUUUCAUGGAUGCUACUAUUGCUACUUAUAAUACUUCGGUUACUUUUCUCCUUAGAAGCUGAAUUUGCUUUUUUAUUAAACUAAAGAUAAUUAAUACCGAAGAAGGAAAAGAAACUGGCACAUGAAUUUGCAUAGGGAGAAACUCUGAAAUAAAUGUACCAAAAAUGUGAAAAAGAAUCAUAUAGUAAAUAUGUACUUAGUUUUUGUGUUUUGUUUAACAAUCAUGUGGAUAUUAGAAAUGUUUGUACAGGCGUCGGAUCAGAAUUUUCAAAAAUUAUCGUUCAGUGAAAUUUGUGUAACAAUUUCAGUGAAUAGAGAAAAUUCUGAACUGAUCAGGAGUUAAAAGUUAGCUUUUCACUUAGGCCUCGUGGGAGCGUUAACUGUUAACUCUUGCCAUGCCAGGAGACUGGGAGUCCUUACUAACUUAUUUGUAAAGACUGGUGCUGUUCACUUAGGGUGAGAAGGGCCCUUUCUUUUGUGACUAUAGGACCAUUUUUCCAAAUGUGCUUUCUUCUAGAAAAAAUGUUCAGUUUAAUUAGCUUUGGAUUUUAAAAUGUUUUUUCUGAAUGAAGAGAUAUAGUAGGCUUGGCCAGUUUAUUUUAUCUAAUUUAAUGAAUAAUAAAUAUUAAGCUCUUGGUUUUUACCUACAUGUUUGUCAGCUAAUGAAAAUGUUAGGAAAAAGCCUUGAAUAUGCAUGCUGCUUUCAUUUUUAUGAACUUUUUCUUUUUUAACUAUAGCUUUAUUAGUAAUUCCAAAAUGCUGCAGUUUAGCAGGUUUCUUCACUCAGCUGGCUUCGUGGGUGGCUUUUUUCAUACUACUGUUAACUUUUUUUAAAAAGAAGCAAUGUAAAGACUGCAACAACUUAAUGCACUAAACUGUUUUUCUUUUACAUGUUUAAAACUUCUUAAAGCACUCUGUAUUAUAAUGAUUAAAUCGCUCCCUUUUUUAAACCA
Molecule: RNA transcript, 16332 nt
Organism: Loxodonta africana (African savanna elephant)
Lineage: Eukaryota; Metazoa; Chordata; Mammalia; Proboscidea; Elephantidae
Gene: ZHX1
Gene name: zinc fingers and homeoboxes 1
Exons: 4
Source: RefSeq, a predicted model, not a curated record